UGGUGGGUAGUUUGACUGGGGCGGUCUCCUCCUAAAGAGUAACGGAGGAGCACGAAGGUUGGCUAAUCCUGGUCGGACAUCAGGAGGUUAGUGCAAUGGCAUAAGCCAGCUUGACUGCGAGCGUGACGGCGCGAGCAGGUGCGAAAGCAGGUCAUAGUGAUCCGGUGGUUCUGAAUGGAAGGGCCAUCGCUCAACGGAUAAAAGGUACUCCGGGGAUAACAGGCUGAUACCGCCCAAGAGUUCAUAUCGACGGCGGUGUUUGGCACCUCGAUGUCGGCUCAUCACAUCCUGGGGCUGAAGUAGGUCCCAAGGGUAUGGCUGUUCGCCAUUUAAAGUGGUACGCGAGCUGGGUUUAGAACGUCGUGAGACAGUUCGGUCCCUAUCUGCCGUGGGCGCUGGAGAACUGAGGGGGGCUGCUCCUAGUACGAGAGGACCGGAGUGGACGCAUCACUGGUGUUCGGGUUGUCAUGCCAAUGGCACUGCCCGGUAGCUAAAUGCGGAAGAGAUAAGUGCUGAAAGCAUCUAAGCACGAAACUUGCCCCGAGAUGAGUUCUCCCUGACUCCUUGAGAGUCCUGAAGGAACGUUGAAGACG
This 593-nucleotide ribosomal RNA is filed under the name Escherichia coli. Its description in RNAcentral is "partial 23S ribosomal RNA". It matches the Rfam family "Bacterial large subunit ribosomal RNA", at positions 2259 to 2846 of the family's 2925-position model. Lineage: Bacteria; Pseudomonadati; Pseudomonadota; Gammaproteobacteria; Enterobacterales; Enterobacteriaceae. The record is from RNAcentral.